RNAcentral lists this long non-coding RNA (440 nucleotides) under Vulpes vulpes (red fox). Its description in RNAcentral is "lncRNA (ENSVVUG00000000155.1)". Lineage: Eukaryota; Metazoa; Chordata; Mammalia; Carnivora; Canidae. The record is from RNAcentral.
CGUACACAGAUAUUGAAUCAGCAUGUUGUACACCUGAAACUAAUAGAAUAUUGUAUGUCAAUUAGGCCUUAACAUUUUCGGAAAAAAGAAAAAAGAAGCAUACCUACAUUGCAAUAUUGUGAGGAUGAAAGUAAAUGAUGUGGGGUCUGAAAGCCCCCUCUGUCCAUCAGCCAUCCCUUUCAUUUAGCAGUUUGGAUGCACAGCUAAGGAAGCAAACAGCUUACGGAAUCCCAGACAGCAUCCUCUCCGGCUCAGAGCAGGUGCUUUCAUUGCUUUUAUACCUCUCCUACGGGUGAGUUCUUCCAGCUUCAGAAGAGGUGGUAAUGCGCAUCGCUUUCAUCAAUACCAGCUUCAAUCCAAGGAAUGUCGCUCCUAAAAUAGCAGUGAACAUAAACCAUCUGCAUUUAAGUACUUGACAUUUUGGUAAAAUAUGACAGCUA